UCGGUAAAGAAACCUGGCACGA
RNAcentral lists this unclassified non-coding RNA (22 nucleotides) under Mus musculus (house mouse). Its description in RNAcentral is "oocyte_clustered_small_RNA2278". Lineage: Eukaryota; Metazoa; Chordata; Mammalia; Rodentia; Muridae. The record is from RNAcentral.